This 460-nucleotide ribosomal RNA is filed under the name uncultured bacterium. RNAcentral's name for it is "partial 16S ribosomal RNA". It matches the Rfam family "Bacterial small subunit ribosomal RNA", at positions 338 to 795 of the family's 1533-position model. The record is from RNAcentral.
CCUACGGGUGGCAGCAGUGAGGAAUAUUGGUCAAUGGGCGGAAGCCUGAACCAGCCAAGUCGCGUGAGGGAAUAAGGCCCUACGGGUCGUAAACCUCUUUUGCCGGGGAGCAAGGGCCGGGACGAGUCCCGGUCCGGAGAGUACCCGGAGAAAAAGCAUCGGCUAACUCCGUGCCAGCAGCCGCGGUAAUACGGAGGAUGCGAGCGUUAUCCGGAUUUAUUGGGUUUAAAGGGUGCGUAGGCGGGCAUUUAAGUCAGCGGUAAAAAUUCGUGGCGCAACCCCGUCCGGCCGUUGAAACGGGGGGCCUUGGGUGGGCGAGAAGAAGGCGGAAUGCGUGGUGUAGCGGUGAAAUGCAUAGAUAUCACGCAGAACCCCGAUUGCGAAGGCAGCCUUCCGGCGCCCUACUGACGCUGAGGCACGAAAGUGCGGGGAUCGAACAGGAUUAGAUACCCCAGUAGUC